GCGAGUGUCGUAUAAUGGUUAUUACACCACCUUGCCAAGGUAGAAAUGGCGGUUCGAUUCCGCUCACUCGCUCAA
Molecule: transfer RNA, 75 nt
Filed under: Candidatus Moraniibacteriota bacterium
Lineage: Bacteria; Candidatus Moraniibacteriota
Description: Candidatus Moranbacteria bacterium tRNA-Gly
Rfam family: tRNA
About the family: Transfer RNA (tRNA) molecules are approximately 80 nucleotides in length. Their secondary structure includes four short double-helical elements and three loops (D, anti-codon, and T loops).
Source: RNAcentral